RNAcentral lists this ribosomal RNA (3137 nucleotides) under Tolypocladium ophioglossoides. Its description in RNAcentral is "LSU rRNA". It matches the Rfam family "Bacterial large subunit ribosomal RNA". Lineage: Eukaryota; Fungi; Ascomycota; Sordariomycetes; Hypocreales; Ophiocordycipitaceae. The record is from RNAcentral.
UAAGUAUUACUUGUAAUUAUAUAAGUAUAUAAAGAAACUAUUAUGGAAUUUAAGCUAUGUAUUAAAGAGAAUUAUUUAUAUAUAUAGAGAUAUUAUAUCCUAUAAUUAUAUAAACUCUAAGAGAAAUCUAAUACUAAACGAAGUGAAUUGAAAUAUCUUAGUAACUUCAGGAAAAGAAAUCAAAAGAGAUUCUAUGAAUAGCGUGAGCGAAAGUAGAGUAGCCUAUAAAGUAGAACGGUAUUAAAACUGUUUAAAUAUAAUGGGGAACCUUCCUCAAAGGCUAAAUAUAAUACAUAAGCGAUAGUGAAAAGUACCAUGAGGGAACAAAAACAAAAAUAGUAGUUUUAUAAGCAGUUCGAUAAAAAGAACGUACCUUUUGCAUAAUGGGUCACCAAGUUAACGUUAGAUGCGAGUAUAUGCGUAGUUAAACCGAACGUUAAAAUAACGAAAUAGUGUCUAAAGUUAGACCCGAAGCACGGUGAUUUUACCAUGGUCAGGAUUAUAAAAGUCCGAACGGGUGAUUGUAGCAAAAAUCUCCGAAGAACUGUGGUAGGUGUAGUGAAAGACAACACUGACUGUGAUAGCUGGUUUUCUGCGAAACCUAUAAUAGUAGGCAAUUUAAGUAAAUAUCUUAGCAGGUACAGAAUUUAAUCUCAGACAAGACGUGUAAACGUUUUAUAUUGUACAAAUUGGGGAAUCAUGAAGAUUUUAUCAGUGAGUAUGUAGACUCGGAAUGGCAAAGAUAUGUCUUAAAUUAUCAGACAUAGAAUGAUAAGGUUGUAUGUCGAAAGGGAAACAGCCCAGAACAAGAGUUAAGGUUCCUAAAUUAUUAGUUAAGUGAAAUUAAGAAGGUUUUUAUUAAAGUCGACAAGGAGAUAGGCUUAGAAGCAGCCAUAAUUUUAUGACCUCGUAACAGAGCGCUUGUUAAGUUAUAAAAGCAUCGAAAAUAUAACGGAUCUAAACAAUAUACCGAAACCUUGUCCAUAAUAUAUUAUAUUAAUUAUUUUUAAUGUAAUUUAAUGGGGUAGCAGAACGUUGAGCUAGAUUAUGAUUUCUAUUUUUUAAAUAGAAUUAUAUUAAUUUAACUCAAGUGAGAAUGGUGACAUGAGUAACGAAAAGAAAAUUUUCCGCCUUAAGCUUAUGGAUAUAAUUAAGUAACGGCCUCUAAGUUUAUAUUAUCUAAAGAUUUAAACGAUGAGAAAAUCUUUUUUACUAAGGACAACAUUUUAGUGUAAAAUGUGCUGGAAAAAUAGUAAAUAUAUUUGUUAUUUAUAACAAAUGAACAAUAACCGUACCUAGAAUCUGAAACAAGUAAGCUAGUAGAGAAUACGAAGGCGUAAAUGAGCUAACAAUCAUAAAGGAACUCGGCAAAUUGACUACCGUAACUUCGGAAUAAGGAGGGCUCAUUAUUCUUGAUUAAUAUCAAGUAAAGAGGAAGAAGCAUGAAAUAAUGUUGUACGACUGUUUAAUUAAAACACAGCACUUUGCUGAAAGAUUAAAAAUCUAUGUAUAAAGUGUGAUAUCUGCCCGGUGCCGGCUGGUUAACAGAGAUAAUUGAAUAUACUACUAUUUGAUGUCGACGGAAACCCCGGUUAAAGGCGGCCUUAACGUGAGGGUCCUAAGGUAGCGAAAUGCCUUGGCCGUUAAAUGCGGUCUUGCAUGAAUGGUGUAACGAUACAACAGCUGUCUCUAUGAUUGACUCAGUGAAAUUGGAAUAGCUGUGCAGAUACAGCUUACCUCUAGUUAGACGAGAAGACCCUAUGCAGCUUUACUGUCACUAAUUAUAGAGUAUGAUAGACAAUUUUCAGAUUAUAAGGUAAUUGACAAUAUGACAAUGAGAAUCCUUUAUUUUUCUUUCAUAUGAAUGAAUUGGUUUAGGAUUAUGAGUAGAUUAUAAUUAAUGUGGCUUAUUACUGAGUCGUUUAAAAACAUUAAUUAUAGUCUUUAAAUCAUUAUAUAGCUCAUUUUAGUAAAUCAGCCUAAUUCAACUUACUAUUUUAUAAUAGUAAGUACCCUUUGGCAAGGAACUAUCGCUAGGGGACAGUUUAUGUGGGGCACAGACCCUGUAAAGAGUAAACAGGAGUGUCUAAUAAUUAUAAAUUAUUUUGUUUGCUAUUUUGAGUAGUAAGCGCAAGCUAUAACUAUUUUUAAUCAUAUAUAAUUAUUUGUAUUUGCAUUUAUUGUAAAUAUAUUUAAGUUUAGGUAGGAUUUUUACUAUAUAGAAAUUAGAGAUAAUUGAAAAUAUUACGAAUUUUUCUAAUGUUUUCUAGCUAUCAUUUUUGAUAGUUAUGUAUUCAAUAUCUAAAAAGCUCAACGGCUAAAUCUUGCCUUACUGUUUGAUUAUCUACAAAUCUUACAGUUGCGUAAGCAGGGCAUAGGAUCACAAGAUGCAAUAAGGAAAGAUCUUGGAUUAUUGGAAAAGCUACGCUAGGGAUGUUUGUCCUUUAAUAUUUUAUUUUGAUUAGUAAGUUAUGCAUUAAUUAUGUAUGAACUAAAACUAUAAAUAAAAUCAUUAAUAUAAAGAACCAUUUUGAAAGAAAUGGAAAUAUAAAAUUAUGAUAACAUACAGAACAGGCUAAUUUGCGCAAGAGUGUACAAAAUGAGUGCGCGGUUUGGCACCUCGAUGUCGGCUUAACUUAUCCUCAUGGACGCAGGAACUAUGUAGGGUGCGACUGUUCGUCGAUUAAAAAGUUACAUGAGCUGGGUUAAAUACGUCGUGAGACAGUAUGGUUUCUAUCUUCUAGGGGGAAUUAGAAUAAAAUAAGAACGAACUUUUGUACGCAAGGAACAAGAAGAGUUUAGCCCGUAAAAAGGUUAAAAUAUGGUUACUAACCUAUGGUUUACCUGUUGUUUAUGUGCCCAUAUAUUAAAUAUAUAUACAAUUGUAUAUAUAUAUAUGUAUUAUUAUACAUAGGGAUGUUUCUCUCACUAAGAUAAAUGUAUAGCAUAAGCACGGCAGGAACGCUAAGUUGGUUAAGGAUAAGUGCUGAAAGCAUAUAGGCACGAAGCUUAUCUUAAGAUAUUUCUUAAAUAUACGUAAUAUACUAUUACGAAAUUUAUAGGCUUUAUCCGUACGAAUCUAGAGAUUUUAAAGAUUAAAGUACUAAUUUAAUAAUUCACUAUUUAUAAAUAUAUCA